This 397-nucleotide ribosomal RNA is filed under the name uncultured bacterium. Its description in RNAcentral is "bacterial SSU rRNA". It matches the Rfam family "Bacterial small subunit ribosomal RNA", at positions 358 to 772 of the family's 1533-position model. The record is from RNAcentral.
GGAAUAUUGGACAAUGGGCGAAAGCCUGAUCCAGCCAUGCCGCGUGAGUGAAGAAGGCCUUAGGGUUGUAAAGCUCUUUCAGCGGGGAAGAUAAUGACGGUACCCGCAGAAGAAGCCCCGGCUAACUUCGUGCCAGCAGCCGCGGUAAUACGAAGGGGGCUAGCGUUGUUCGGAAUUACUGGGCGUAAAGCGCGCGCAGGCGGUCUGCCAAGUCAGAGGUGAAAGCCCCGAGCUCAACUCGGGAACUGCCUUUGAAACUGGUAGACUAGGGUUCGGGAGAGGUGAGUGGAAUUCCGAGUGUAGAGGUGAAAUUCGUAGAUAUUCGGAAGAACACCAGUGGCGAAGGCGGCUCACUGGCCCGAUACCGACGCUCAGGCGCGAUAGCGUGGGGAGCAAA